AAAAAUGUACUGCAACAAUUCGUCAAUUGGCAUAUGGUUGUGCGUCUGACUCAGUUGACGAGUAUGUACGAAUUGGUGGUUCAACGGCUCGGGAAUGUUUGUACGAGUUUACCGCCGGAAUAAUCGCUGUGUUUGGCGGAGAAUACUUAAGACGUCCCACACCGGAUGACCUAGAACGACUACUCUAUCAUAAUGAACAGCGUGGAUUUCCCAGGAUGGUUGGGAGCAUUGACUGCAUGCAUUGGGGGUGGAAGAAUUGUCCCACAGCUUGGAAAGGGAUGUAUUCACGAUCAACCGGAAAACCUACAAUCGUGUUGGAGGCGGUAGCCUCGUAUGACCUCUGGAUAUGGCAUGCUUUUUUUGGAGCUCCAGGUACUAUGAACGAUCUUAAUAUUCUUGAUCGAUCUAAUGUUUUUGAUGACAUUCUUAACGGUAAAGCUCCGGAAGUCAACUUUUUUGUCAACGGAAGGGAGUACAAUUUGGCGUACUAUCUCACGGAUGGUAUUUAUCCAAAAUGGGCCACUUUUAUACCAUCUGUCCGGCUUCCACAAGGUAUGAAAAAUUCUCUUUUCUAGAAAACAAGAAGCUGUGCGGAAAGAUGUUGAGCGUGCCUUUGGAGUCUUGCAAGCUAGAUUCGCCGUUGUUAAAAAUCCAUCUCCUUUAUGGGAUAAAUACAAAAUAGCAAAUGUUAUGAGAGCAUGCAUAAUACUCCAUAAUAUGAUUGUCGAGGACGAACGAGGUACAUACAGUUACAGAAACAUUGUUUCUGAAUUUCAACACGGAGAAAAUGUGGAUCAAACAUAUACCUUCGGUGCCGCCAGUUUGGGUUCAAAUAUCAGCAGUACGAUUACUCGUCGAACAAGAAUUCGGGAUAAACAAGCCCAUCAACAGUUAAAAGAAGAUUUGGUUGAGCAUAUUUGGACUAACUUUGGACAUCUUCCAGAUAAUGAAGAUUAAUUAUUAAAUUUCUAUGAAUUGAAUAAAAUGUUUGUUUUUAUUUUUAAUGUUAGCAUGUUUUAUGUUUUUCAUUUUAAUUGUAUGUUAAGUUUGUUUUUUUCAAGUUUUUGUAACUUUGUAAUUUUCUUAUGUUUUCAAUGUUAAUGUUAUAUGUUUUAUUUUAAUUAAAACUUUAAUAUGUUUUUACUUAUUAAUUUAAAUUAUUAAUAUUUUAAAUUUAAAAUAUUAUUAUUUUAUUCAUGGGACCAAUUGUGAGGGACACCAAUGCUCAUACCAAACUUAAGAAACUCUGAAAAUAAUCUUAUUAUAUUUGAGGGACCAAAAUGUGUCGACACAUAUUAAUCAGUAAUUCGUGGGAAAUAUAGGUUUGCAAUAAAUUUCCAAUAGAACAUACAUUUGUUGGAAUAUGAUCGUUGGAAACCAGUAUUUGUCGAGAAUUUGUUAGAAAUAUUUCCGUCAAAUACUUUUUGUUAGUAAUCUGUUAAAACUUUCUGAUGAAUUAUUUGUUGGAAUUAUGUUGGAAUUUAGUUGGAAUUUAGCGUAGAGUUUCCAACGAAUUGUUGUUCCAUCAAAUAUAUUGUUAGAAUGUUAUCACUAGUUUGCGACAAAUAUUCAACAAAUCAGAUAGUUAAUUUGUUAAAAAUUACUCAUAAUAUAUUUGUGGGAAAUUUCUUGAUAAAUUUUAUUGAAAAAUAAUUUUAAAAUAAUAUAUUGUAAUAAAUAUUUGAUUUAUAUAAAUAUUAUAAAUAAAUUAUUAUAUAAAUUUUAAUUUUGAUUACAUUUAUUAAUUAGACAAAUAUAAAAAUAUUUAUAUUUGGUAAUUUAAAGAUUUAUUAAAAUCUGAAAUAUCCUUAUUGGAUACUUCUGAAUUUUCUCAAAUAUUACUGUUGCUAUAACUGGAUAACAAAUGAUUUUACAAAAUAUGAAGACAUAAUACUAAUAUAUAUAGCAAAUAUAUAUUGCUUCUUUAUCCCUUUCUUUCGAUGUGGGAUGUGGGAGGUGGGAGAUGUCUACGUGCAUCAGUGCAUGUCUUAUUAGACAUGCUAUUAUUAUGUUCUCAACUUAUAUUGGUUUGGCUAAUUAAUAUUUUAGCCAGUUAGUGUUAAUUAUUACAAAUUUUAUUGAUGAAAAUUAGUUUUAUUUAAUAGCAAAUGAUUUAACUAAUUCAAAUUAAGAUAAGAUAAUAUUAUUAUUUGUCACAAAAUCAUCAGAAAUAUUUUCCAACAAAUAUUUUGUUAGUAAUUUCCAACAACUUAAAAGUUAUUGCUUCUAUCCAACAAUAUAUAAUAUUUGUUGGAAAAUUCCAAUAAUAUUCAUACAAAUUAUACAACGUAAUUACCACAACUAAAAUUUGUUGGAAAUUUGUAAUGAAUUUCCAACGAUAUAAUAUUUGUUGGAGAUUUUCAACGAUUCUCCUACAAAGUAUGCGAUGUAAUUGUCACAAUUAUAAUUUGUUGCAAAUUUGCACUGAAUUUCCAACAAUCUAGUAUUUGUUGGAAAAUUUCCACAAUUUUCCUAUAAAUUAUGUGAUGUACUUGCCACAACUUAAAUUUGUUGGAAAUUUACAAUAGAUUUCUAACAAAUAUAAUAAUAAAGGUAAUUUUAUGGGAUAUUCAUUGGAAAUUUCCAACAAAAUCCGAUUGUUAGAAACAUUUGUUGGAAUAUGCCAUGUUUUCUAGUAGUGGUCCUACACCAUUGCUCAUGGUCUAAGGAUAAAUCAAUUGGAGCUCUAGAGAUAAGAGUGGUGCAAAAUCGAACGUUCGAUGAGCUUAUGGAUUUUUUCGUCUCUCGAGGUGGCUCCAUUACUCAAUACAAGACACCCGUGUGCAUAAAAUCUAUUGAGGCUUUAGCGGUUCUCGAAAAGAAGGUUCUUGCUCGGUUCUUCAGCGAGAAAUCUCCUCCUAUGAACACUUCACCUUCGAACGGGAGCUCAACUUAACUAGCCUAUAUAUGCCUUAUGCAUUGCAAUAAAAAAAUGGUGUGAAACAUGAGUAUACCAAGUCACUUGCCUUGUGGGCUGCGUACUUUUAUCGUUGAGAAUUUUACAAUAUAAUUAUGAUGCUUGUAUUUUCUAAAUUGUGUUUUCUGUAAUUUAUAUUUUAAAUUCUUAAAAUACUUGUUUAUCAUAAAACAUAGGUGUAAAAAAUAAAGUAAAAUAAAAAAAAAUCUUUAAACAUAGGUUUAUGUUUGAACUAUUCUUUUUCCCUUUGGUCCAUUGUUUUUGAGUUGUCUGACAUGACCUCGGCUCGGUUUUGCAUAAGAGAGUCUUCUAGAUAUGGGCAGAUGUUUUGUUGCACGGGACACCAGUGUUUGAACAGAAUCGGAGAUUGCUCCUAACAAAGCACUAUAGACAAGUUUAUCUUGUCUCUACUCUUUACCAAUAGGUGUAGUCCGAAUCAACAGAUGCGACUCCGUUAGUUGUGAAUGUAGGAGGAUGGAUUUGAGUGGAUCAAUCCAAGAAAAAAGCAAGCUCAUAGCCAUCAAAGAGAGCAUGAACGUAUUUAUUAAUACAUACAUACGUGUAUAAUUUGAUGACAUGUUAAUCCCCUUCUUUACAUGUAGGCUCCGUUCUAAAAAUCUUCGCCUAGUCCGAUUACUCCCCAUUUAAUCGCUAGGUCCACCCUAUCCGCCUCGAUUAAUGAUGAAUCCCCUAAAAAAAUCAGUUACCCGAUUACUCUCCGUCUAAUCCGAUUACUUUCCGCCUAAUCCGAUUACUCCCUGCCUAAUCUUACAUAUCCCGAUUAUUUUUAGAUUCCAAGUAUAAAAAAACUUUUAUUUUUGUUAUUCAAUCAUUUAAAUUGGGAGUUUGUGAUGUUUUACAAUAACUUAUGUUCAAACUUUAAUAAAAAUCAUAAAUUUUAAUAAAAUUCAUAAAAAUUUGCCUCAAAAAUAUAGUUUUAUCUUUUUACUGCAAUUAUGAAAAUAAUAUUAGAUUAAUAUAUUUUUAAAAUAUUAAAAUAACCCUAAAACUAAUCCCUGAUUAAUCUCUGAUUUUAAUCCGAUUUUCUGAUUAAUUGCUAGGUCCAUACCGAACGCCCGAGUAGCGCUUAGCCUCUAGCGAUUUUUCAAACAAGGCAUGUAGGUAAGAGGACUUUUUCGGUUCUGUUUCAAAGACGAAUACAUAACCGGCCAAACAAGAUCCCUUUCAUGGUUCGAUUCUCCGGUCCCCUCCGGUUUUAAAAAUGAUGGGCUAAUAAACAAGUCAAAGACUCAAAAAAAGUUGUUAGUUAAAAGUGUGCGUCGAAUCUAUUGCAAUAAAUAAUAGCUGCUCGCUUCUUCUUCUUCUCAUCCCCAAAACCAAAAAAAAAAGCUUCAAUUUGGAUCAAUCCCGAAGAACACGAACAUAGAAAAUCUCAAUUAGAUUAACAAAACCCUUCUCAAAACCAGUUCUCUAUGUCAGGUCGGUCUUGUUCUCUUCCAUCUUUUGAUUCUGUCACUAAAUCAUAUCAAGUUUUGAUUUUUCGACAUACCCAGAUUGUGAAUUAUAUGUCAGAUUAUGUUUUAAGGUUUUCGAAGUUAUGGGUAGUUCUUAAAAAUGGUUUUUGUUGAAGCUUUGGUUAGGGUUUUAAAACCUGAAUUUGUGAACUUUUAUGUGAAUUGUACCAAGCCCUUGUUAAAGAAUGUAUUUUUACAGGUAAUCAAGAACCAAUCUUGGUGAAAGAAGAGAGUGUGGUAGGUAUACCAACACCACUCUUGAAGCUUAAAAGUUGGCAAUGGUGGGUUCUUGUGUCUAUUAACAUCUUUUUCCUUAUUGGUGGUCAAGCUGCUUCGGUUCUUCUCGGUCGGUUUUACUAUGAUCAAGGUGGAAACAGUAAAUGGAUGGCUACUCUUGUUCAAACCUCUGCUUUUCCUAUCCUCUAUAUCCCGCUUUUGCUACUUCCGUCUUCUUCGAGUAGUGCCGAGUCUUCAGAGACUUCUUGUUCACUCAAGUACAUUGUUUUGAUCUAUGUUUUGCUUGGUGUGAUCAUUGCUGGUGACAACAUGUUGUACUCUGUUGGACUUUUGUACCUCUCUGCUUCGACUUAUUCGCUCAUUUGCGCUACUCAGUUAGCUUUCAACGCGGUGUUCUCUUAUUUCAUCAAUGCUCAGAAGUUCACUGCUUUGAUUCUCAACUCUGUUGUUCUCCUGUCGUUUUCCGCUGCUUUGAUUGCCCUCAAUGAUGAUGCAGAUACUCCUUCUGGUGUCUCCAGGUCUAAGUAUAUUGUUGGGUUUGUGUGUACACUUGCUGCGUCUGCUCUCUAUUCUCUGUUGCUAUCUCUUAUGCAGUUCUCGUUCGAGAAGAUUCUGAAGAGAGAGACGUUUUCUGUGGUUCUUGAAAUGCAAAUUUACACUUCUUUAGUGGCGACUUGUGUCUCGGUUAUCGGGCUUUUUGCUAGCGGGGAAUGGAGAACGCUGCACGGGGAAAUGGAAGGUUAUCACAAAGGGCAAGCGUCUUAUGUACUGACUUUGGUCUGGACAGCGGUUACAUGGCAAGUGUGUUCUGUAGGAGUGGUGGGUUUGAUAUUUCUGGUGACAUCACUCUUCUCAAACGUCAUUAGUACGCUCUCUCUAGCUGUGACUCCACUAGCAGCUUUGGUUGUGUUCCGUGAUAAAAUGAGUGGCGUUAAGAUUAUGGCAAUGCUGAUCGCUCUUUGGGGUUUCGCUUCUUAUGUUUACCAGAAUCAUAUAGAUGACUUGAAAGUUAGACGAGCACGACAACAAGCUCAAGCCGGGCGGGUGGAACCUCCUUGUUGAUUCUGCAAUAAUACAGGCAGAAAUAUUGGUUUAGGAUGCUAUACGUUCUGAUUUAGAUAAGCAACAAUAAUUGUCACUGGUAUGACAAGCUACUUGUCUUGUCAUAUUGUUUUUCUAAUAUACUGGUAGUAAAUGGAAACUCGUGACAAAAUUUUGCGAGAAUGAGAAUUCGGAAACGAAGUUUGUUAUCUCAUUUAUUUCUGUUUGAAAUUCAGAACUAGAGUUCUUGAAUGAAAAAUGUUUGUCUCAGUCAAGUAGUACUAUAACUUAAGCUUUGAGCUCUUGAAUUGAUAACCAACAUAUCCCUUUUUGCUAGGUGUAAUCUGUUGAACCUUGGAUUUGGUUUUCUUUCGUUUUUACAUUUUGUAGCGGUUCUUCCAUGUCAACUUAGUCACAACCUCUCCAUUUAGCGAGUUGCUAAACCACAUCUCUAGACAAGUGCUCGAGUCAUGACUUCACCGUCUCUUUUCUAGAAUGCGAAAAAGGCGAAAAUGCGUUGUGCACCUCACGCAUCAUGAGUGGGCUUCUAUUACUCUGUAACAAUAGAGCAGGAUAUCAAGAAUUCCUCCGGCAAUUCCUUGGACAUUGCUUAAUUUCUUCGACUAUUCUAUCUAAAUUCUGAAAUCUAGUUUAAAUCCAUUCCCAAUAUAGUCCAUAUGGGUAAAAGUCUUAUGAGUUGAUUAAUGUGUCACUUAUUUUAACUUGGGAAUUGUCUUUAAGUUAAGUUUGACUUUGUAACUUACAUCAAUAAAAUGAUUUUGUACUUUAGGGUAAUGUAUAAAACAAAUUUUCUUGAAACUUACACUUUAUUGUUUUUAGUAAAAUGUUAUGCGUUACACUGGAAACGUUUAAGAAAAAAAAAACCACUCUCAUAGAAACCAAAACGAAAUUUUUUAUAUGGGACAAGAAUUUAUAAACACAUAUUUUAACUUAGAAACUAAUUUCCAAAUAGUGAAAACAAGAACUCCGUUUCGAAACAAGAUUUGAAACUUGGUCAAGAUUGACAUAUAAGACAAGUUAUGUUAACAUAAGACAACAAGGAGACUACAUAGAGUUUAUUAAACUACAAUAAACACAUAGAAUUAACACAAUUUAUCUAAUAAGAUUAGAAUUGUGAUUAGGCCAAGAGCCAGAAAUUCUUCUGCCAUCGUGUAUUGAUCAAGUACCCACCAACACCUUUGCAUUGUUUCCUCACACCAAUCGUCAAACAAUCUGCACCGUUGAUGCACCGAUUCACGAGCUCCUCUGAUCUACUAGGUCCACAUAAGCUACACAAACGACAACAAAAAAUGUUAAGUAAUUAUUGAUCAUGAUGGGGAAAAGAAAUCUGACGGUUGAGAUGACGCACCAAGCGAUGAGUGGUGCAGAUUUCUUCUGACCCAACACAAGAACAGAGACUUCAAGUUUCUUUACUUGGCUUAACACUGUUGCUAGCUUUGGUCCUUGAAUCACCAAUGCCUCCACAUCCACCUUUUUAGAAGAAAAAAAUUGACAUAUUAUAAUUGUCUUAUUAAUUUAUCCUAAAUCAUUGAAUCUUUUUAAAGAUGUCACAUUUCUUGAUGCAAAAAAUGUAGUACUAACUUCUCCAAAGUAAUAUACUAAAACUCACAAGGAAUUUUGCAAGUAAUUAAUUACAAUUAAAAAAUGGUGAAUUAUAAUAUCAGAAGAAUUACACGUAAGUUUACUUAGAACUUAUAAAACUUACAAAAACUCUACCUGAUUACAUGUUACUAUGUUCAUUGUUAGUUGUCUUUGAAAAACUUUCCAUUUCAAAAUGCUAAUUAAAGUAACUCUUAAAUGGGUAAGGACAGCUUUCAAGUAACAAAAAAUAUAUGUUACCAACUAUACUUUAGAUCUAAUUAGUAGUUUUUAAAACAUUAGAUCUAAACUAAGAAAAAAAAAAGCUGCAUUUCUUACUGAAUAAAGCUUACUUUACAGAAUGAAUAAUGAUGAAAGUAUUUUCUAAAUCCAAAAUAAUUUCUUUUUUCUUACAAACAAAAAAAAGUGAAGAGCCAUCAGUCAUCACUAUGAGUCUAUGACCAUCACAUAGACAGAUUCUCUCACGCAUGCACUACUCCAAUACUCAAGUACUUCAACACAACUUUACAUUAACCAAAUACAACAACCAAAUUAAAACCUAAAUGUGAGAUUAUUACUUCUCUAACUAAUAGUUUCCAAAAGCCAAACAUAAAAAUAGCAAUAAGCUUAAUUAUAACCUUAAUAAGCCCUCUCUUUUUUAGAAUAAUAGUAAGCUUAAUUUUUUUUUGGUUGAUUAAUUAUAAGCUUAAUUAGUACCUCAGGUUUACAAGCUUUGCAAAGAGAACCAAGAGAUUGAGCCAAAGAAGGAGAAGCUUCAUCAUGAGGAGAGACAACAUGAAGAAGAGUCAUCAAAUCUCCUUUGUUAGUUAAAUGAGUCAAAGCCCACAUCAUAGCAUGCUUAGACCUCGAAGUCUCAUCAACCACAACCAUCACUCUCUUACUUCUCGCCGCCGUAUCACCACCGGAGUAAACCCCAUAAAGACCCUCCAUUGAGGAGUAGCCACCACCACAAUCACCACCGUUUGUGUCGUCGUUGAAGGCUGUUGAGCUAUCUCCGGAAGUCCACCUUUUAGAAGCCGAUCUCCAACCUUCUUUUCUGCUUAGUUGCCUAAGGAUCGAGUUUCUUGAAAAUUGCAUUUUUGGAGAGUUUGGUGAUGGGAGCUCGAAGCUUUUUGUAGUGAAUGAAGGGAGAGAGAAGAAGAAGUAGGUAGUAGCCUAGUAGGAGACUAUAGUAGAGAGACUAGAGAGAGAGAAAGUGAAGAGGCUUUGGUGUAAAACUCGAAAAUGUGAAAAUGGAAAGAGAAGAGUGAGAGAGAUUUAAUUGGUAGCUAAUAAAGAGUGAGCGACAGGGCAUUAAGGGUGAAUCAUGUGCCCACAAUAAAGUGUGUUAUUUAAUUGCUAAACUUUAAGCAACCAACAUUUUUUUUUUAAAUAAAAAUUUAGUUUGGUUUAGUUUAGUUCUGUUUAUUAGUAUUUGGAAUUGGAAUUUACAAUUCUAAAAUGUCAAUUUAAGCAAACCGAAUUAAAAUUCUUAGUUAGAAGAUUUUGGAUUCGUUUGGUUUAUUUGGGCUAAAAAGUACUAGUACUAGUUAGAAAUCUAGAGAAUAGGCUUUUCUUCAAAAUAGUUUUCAAAGUUUGUCAUUUUGUAUUCACCAUUUCAACAAUGUCACUCUUUUGCCAAAACAUUUAAUAAUGGAGCACAACUAUUAUGAAAUAUAGUCAAUGCAAAUGGUGGGACUUCAUAUUUAGUCAAUUUUGUAAUGAAUAAUGAUUUUACGACGAUAACGGUUAGGUUUUAAACUUGGCUUUCUUAAAUUCUUUGCAUGUAUGAAUACGAUUAAUCUGGAGCUGAAAUUGGAAGCAAUUACUGAAUUACACAUGAAGACUUUUACAAGUUUCCUUAUUUUUUAAGGGUACGUCUCGAUGAGUCAUUCACAAUUUCACUAAGACUUUCAACACGUUACAUACUUACAUAGAGUUGAUAUCGAUUCUAUCUUUUGACCUUAUAGAUAGAAAUUACAACAAAAUUGGAGGCAAGGAAGAAGAAGAAUUGUUCGAAUAAGAAUAUUUUGCUUCGACUCUGUUUUGAUGCUUAUUACUGUUUUAGUACUUAUUUGUAGUUUCGACUAUUUUAUGGCUUUAUGUUCACUUUCUAUUUUUGGUAACGUGAGAUUCGGUCUAAUCACUUAACUUAAACCAAUCUAAUUAAAUUCAUAUAUCAACUAUGGACUACCUUGAAACCUACGAUUAGCGGUCGCGACUCUACCCUAAAAACUCACCUGAUCCUUUGAUAUGGUGAUACAUUAGUCCUUAAAUUAUUUUAGAAAGUAUUUUUUAUUAAAAAAUAUAUUACGAUAUUCGUGAAUCAAAAAAGCCAUGUUGCAUUCUACACAAGGGAGGUCGGUGGUGCCAAAAUUAUCUUGUAGGGUUUGCUUGGUUGGCAGGCUCUCUCAUCAUGGACUUCUUUUGUGUCCUAGUUACAUUUUUUUCUGGGAUGCACUUUAGAUUUAUUGGAUUACCCUAAUUAAUCUUUUUUAUUGGAAAAAUAACUCAUAAUAAUAUAUUCACACAAAAAUAAGAAAAAAAAAAACAAUCAUGGUGUUGGUGAAGCAGAUCAGAUCAUCUUGGUCUAAAGAUUUUAAAGACCAAAAAAAAAUGGUAACAAAGUUUCAAAAUUUAAAUCAUCAGAUUUUUUAUAUAUAAUUAAAGAGAACCUCCCAGCCAUAUAAGCUUUUAUAUAACGAAAUUGUCAUAUCUCUUGUUUUUUGUUUUGAAAAUGGAAUUUAGAGAAAAUAUCUACAUUGUGAAAUCACAUUAUUUUCUUGUAUGUCUCAAGACUGUUUACAUUGAUUGAUUUGGCCAUUUGGGGUUGAAGAGAACCACACUACUAUAUCACACGAACUCGUUAAUUAUCCGAUUUUUCCACUCGUUAAAUGUUGUUGACCGGUAGCUUUGCAUGUUGCCACAAUACCACUCAAAAAGUGAAUCAACACGAGCUUAUUCAUUUUUUAAUUAUAAAGAACACGGGUUUGUUCAUGCAAAGCUUUAAUUAUAUAAAUUGGAAAUUUGAUCACAUAUCAAAUCAUACAUGAAUACACCAAUACACUAAGUCAUAUCAAUAGUAUAGGGUGGUCCAGAAAAUGAGAAGAAAGGAUCUUAUCUCUUACCCCAUUAAACGUAUCUCGGUUACUUUAUACGUACGUAAAUUUAUGGGUUUCAUAUAUGUGUCAGAUUACCUCAUUCACAUUUUGCUUUCAUAUCUUCCUUUGUCCUCUUCUCCCAUUUCAUCCUCCCACACUUGUAUUUUUCCUUUGGACUUUUUUGCUUUUUGUUUUUUCCUCACAUUUCUAGUGUUUCAACAAGCUAAUCAUACACAUAAAAAUAAGAUCGAAGGGCUCCAAGAUUAGUGCAUUUCAUAACCUCAAUUUAGUGCAACAAACAAGGGCCUCCAUGUAUGUAUAAAUAUGAACAUCAUGAUGGUAACAUACUAACAUCCUUUGAUAAAACAUUGUUUUAAGGUUUAGAUAUAUAAGCAAACAGUUUCUAUUUCCUAUGCAUUUUUACAAGCCAUGAAAAUACAAAACUAUUUUAUUCCAACCACUAUGAAGAGAGUUGCAUAUUUUAUGUCUAAAAUAGGACAACAUUAAAGGUACUCGAAUAAUGUAAUAUUUCAAACAUGUUGACCAAUGAGAUGGUCAAAUAAUAAAUCCAAUUCAAACACGCAGACUUUUAUGAUACUACUAACCCAUGUGUUUUCUUCUAAAUUACUUCAUAACGAUUAAUAAAAUGUUUGGCCAGUCUCUUCAUUAAACAUUAAACAAGACUAAUAGAGUAAAACUUUAUUAUAGUAAUAUGACGUAUGUGACAUGUUAAGGGUAAAAUAUAGGAAGUGAAAAGAAUAGGAAAAUAAUUAUCAAAUACAGAUUUGGAAACUGGUGAAAGGGUAAAUAAAUUUUUUGUGUAUAAAUUACAGAAUUGUUUGCUUCUGCAUCUUCCUUCAUUCACUUGUCAGCUUAAAGAAUCAUUUAUCCUGACACAACUUCCUACCACAAAAAUUUUCCAAUUUAAUUUCAUACUAACAUUAUAAAACUGCUUAUGAAAAAACAUAAAUGUAUUUAUAAUUGCUUAUUCUAUUCUCUCGAAUUAUGUUAUUACUUUUUUAGAGUGCAAAGAUAACUUUGCCAGUUACUUUUUUAGGUGUUGAAAUUGUCAGAACCUUUUACAUUUUUUUUUUUUUUUACAUAUGAAUAGAAUUUUCAGAGAUUUUAUAGAUAUCUUAAGAGCUUAAUUUAUUUUUUCCAUAGAAUUGUGAUGUAGUACUUUUACUCAAUUAAAUAUCGAACCAUAAUUUGCAAUUGAUCAACUCACUAGGAAUACACGCAAAAGCUUAAUCUAGGCUAAUAAGAUGAUUUUGUUUCGUAAACUUGACUAACAAAAUAAAUAACAAACCAACAAUGCAAAACAAGACAAAUGGAAACAAAAUGCAAAAGACUAACAAGUUUCGAAAGUAAACAAAGCGGAAAAAUAAAAAAGUUACUAAGCGAUACUAAAAGCGAAUUCUCGGGUUAAAGGAAAUUGAUUGGAAUGAUAAAGAGAGCUUCAAACAACUUCUAAUAAGCUAUGAUCCUUAGGCCAUAGAACACUAAGCAACACUAACACAUUUCCAUGACAUUAGUCCAUUUACUAAUCAAUUAAUCAUCAACUUCUUCCAAAGGCAAUCAAUUGACUAACAAACAUUAUAAACAAGUCUAUCUAGCCACUAAACACCCUAGUCAACGAUUUCCAAAGGUAAGGUAUGUAAAGCACUUAAAGGUUUUGGUUCGGGAAUUUCAUCGAAAACCUUCCGGGCAUGAAAUUCCUAAAGUCUAAAUCAACAUGAUCAAGGCUAAUCUAGCUUUAUAAACAACCAAUAAGUAAGGAUCUUAAGUAAUCUAGCCCUAAACUCCAUAACCCAACAUCUAAACCAUCCUAAUCUACCUUAACCCAAGAACUCUAAAUGACUACUCACUCAUGAUCAUGAUUACACAAAGCAAUAAGUUUGAUCUUUGUGAAAUCAUAAUUAGAGACGGUAGAUAAGAGAUUUAAAAGAGAAAUUUGGAUUCAAAACUCAACAAAACCAAAGAUUCAUACAAAAACUUAGAAAGAAACCUUAAGAGAAGUUUUUGAUCUCUAAACAAAGCAUGACCCUAGAAAUUAGGUCUAAAAUCACUUAAAUAGAAGCCUAAAACGAACCGGGUCGACCCAUAACAGGCGGGUCGGAUCCGGUUUUCGAAUUCGGGUAAUAGAGAAAAUUGGCUCGCAACAGGAUACAUAAGCUGAUGCAGAUGGCUGAUGUAUCAACAGAAUAACUUGGAGUCUUCAAGAUAUCUCGCAUCAGGGUGCAUAUGUCGAUGCAUAUGGCUGAUGUAUCAACAGAAAGAAUUCAGGGUCUUCAGGACAUGUCGCAUCAGGGUGCAUAUGUCGACGUAGAAACCUGAUGCAUCUUCUUCUCCAUCUCUUCAUACUCCUCUAGUUCCUUUUUGCUUGAUUUACUUCUUUUUACCCCAUUAGUGCUCCAAUUGCCAUGAAAACUCCAAUAUCCACUCCAUGAACCUAGAAGUAAGAAAUGCAAUGCAAAUAUGCGCCUAAUAACCUAAACAUAAAUGCAAAAUGGUUAAAAACUAAGAGAAACAAAGCUAUAAAACUAACAAAAAUACAAGAUAUCAAAUUGAAUAAAUGAUACUAUAAAUUAAAUAUCAACUGUCCAAAAUUAAUGUCCAGCAAAAUAAUGUUAGCUCAACAUUCAUUUUUAAGUUAAAUUGUUUGUGUUGAUAUUGUAUCGAUAUAGAAAAUUAGAAAGUACGAAACAUAUAUAUGAAAGUAAUUAGCUCAAUUCAUUGAAGGAGAUUACAUUAUCUCUACGAACUUAGAUCAAAUUUAAAACUACAUUUUACUUGAAGAAAAAUAUUUUGCUACGGCGAAUGCAACAUGUUAAUUAAGACCAUUUUGUGUCUAAAGAAAGUAUACCAAUGAAAGUAGCAGAACUUGUACUUUUAGGUAAAUAAUUUUUUUAGUAGAACUUGUAUAUAAUUACUGUAAUUAGGAUAAUAAAAUCAUCAUAUUAAUGUUGUUUAGAGGACUAAAUAAAGUAUCAAUUAAAAGGUUGUGGAGUAUGUGGAGAACUCCUAUUAUUGACAUGGAGGAAAAUAAAUGAAGUACUCUAGUAACGUACAGAGGCUAUAAAUUUGGUUUUCGUCAACGUCAAUAAUUAUUUGUGCUGCUGUACGUUUCUACGUAUUAAUUAUAUUCCCUCUGUUCCUAAAAGUUUGAUGUUUUAGUGUUUUAGGUUUGUUCCACAAAGAUUGAUUUUCUGGAUUUUUUCUUUAUUUUUAAUUAAUUGAUAUUAAUAAAUCGUAGAUUCCAAGACGUAAUGAUUAACUGUUUCAGAAUACUAUUGGUUAAUGAUUUAUUAAGAAAUAAUUAAAUAAAAUAAAUAAUUAAACAAUGAUUGUUUUUUAAAAUAUGUGAAAUCUCUAGAAAAUCAAUCUUCUAGGAACAGAGGGAGUAUAUAAUUAUCGGUGAUGUGUAACUUGCGAGGUCCUCGUGAAUUGAGCCAUAUAACGUAAACUCUUUCCUUUUUUUUUCAUUUUUUUUUUCAUGAAAGUAUAAAUAUAGGAAGAUUACAACAUCUACUGCAAAUAUUGGGAUUAUAAAAGUUUUGGAAAUUAAGAGGAUGAACAAUACAUCUAAUCCCUGAAAACAACUAGUAAUAUUUUCAUAAACUAAUAAUCUCUCCGUUUUAAUUUAGUUAUCGUUUUAGGAUUUAAUUUAUUUUUUUAAUAAUCGUUGUCGUUGAAGGUUUUUAAUGCAGAUGUUUGGUAGAAAUUUCAGUUUUAUCUCUAUAGUUUUAAUGUUUUGACCAAUGAAAUUUAUAAAUUAUAUGUUAAUAAAGAUUAAAACAAAAAAUUUAAUAGUUUUUUUUAAUUUGUGUGAGAAAACUUUAAAUACCAACUAAAAAAAAAACGGAUGGAGUAUUUUCAUGAAAUUUUUGUUCUAACGGAAAUUAAUAGUUACUUUGUAAAACAUUUAUUUUUUUAAAUUAUUUUUAACACAAAAACAGAGUACAUUUAUAUUUAAUAUAUUUUAUAAUUGAUGACAUUAAGAAUAGGUUUGAGCAAAUGACUACUUUUAAAAGUGUCUUUGGGUUUUUGUUUGAUUCUUUGAAGUUAAAGUCACUUAAUGAAAGUGAAUUAAGAGAACAUUGCAUUAAUUUCCAAAAAACAUUUUCUCAUGGCAUUGCAUCUGAUAUUCUGAAUUGAAAGUUGUGCAAAUGUUUUUACUAGAUGUGCCAAUGACACCUAAUGAAGUGCUUGAAUUUGUUGAAAAUAUAGGGUGUUAUCCAAAUGUUUCAAUUGCUUAUCGACUUCUUUUAACUACACCCGUAACUGUAGCAUCGGCUGAGAGAAGCUUCUCAAAGUUGAAGCUAUUGAAAAAUUAUAUGAGAUCUUCAAUGUCUCAAGAAAGAUUGAACGGUUUAGCUAAUUUAUGUAUUGAAAAACAUAUGUUAGAAAGCAUGGAUUUUGAAAUUAUUAUUCAUGAUUUUGCAUCGACUGAACCUCGUAAAAACCGUUUUAUAUGAUCAUUUUCUUUUCUUUUUGGAAUGACUAUUGGAUUUUAUCUGUCAGAUUAAAAUGUUUUAUCGGAGAAGAGUGAAACAUGUUAGAGGAUGCAAACUUGGAAGAAGCUGAAAACAUGAAUAUUUUUUUUUAUCAGUGAUUUAGUGUGUUUUAGGAGACCGUUUUUGUAUCUCGUCCUAGAGGUUUUAAAACAUUUGAGCCGGGACUGAUUAAGAUGAGAAUGAGACCUCUAAUUAUAUAAACCAAAAACCGUUUCACAUAUAGUUUCUAUUCACAAUUUAAGGAUUUAUGUUUGAGAAAUUGCAUACCUAUAAUAUAAUUAAUUUAAUGUGAUCGUACUCAAAAAGUUUUUAUUAUAUUUUUAUGUCACAAAAUGGACAAUCAUUUAGAUUUUAGUCUAGUAUUAUAUCAUCUUAAAAGAAAGAAAAAGAAAAAAAAAGAAUAUAGAAAACGUCACGGAUUAUAUAGAUGUACAUAUACGAGAUACCUAAUAAAAAUUAGUUUUGGCGAAAAGUGUGAGAAUAGAAACGAAUUAAGGGUCGUGUAAUGGUAUUAGUCUUAUGUGUCAGCCUUUUCUUCAGCCCGUGAUGCUUGCUAGGAAUCUAACUCAUCAUUGUCACUCAUUUCUUAUUUAUUUUGUUUUAUUUUCUAUAUUUUCUAAAUACAAUUAAUGUAAUCUUUUCUUCUUUAAAUAAAAUACACUACAUAUUUUUCUUCUCUUUUUUUUUUUGAACAAACACAUAUUUUUCUUCUCUUAUGCGUUUAGAUUAUUAUGUAAAUGUUGAAGAGUGUAGAUAUUGUUGGUUUGCUCACCUUAACAUUUUCAUUAGGACGUUUCUAAUAUUAUUUUUUUGACGUUCUUAUGUUCGAAUGCUUUUGAAUCUUCUUUUUUUUUUUAAUACAAAAACAGUUUGGAUGGAGUUUUUUUUUUAUAUCUAAAUCUAUAUUUAAAAACUUACAAAAUUAAUUACUAAAACACCAAAAUUAUUUUUUUAACCACUUGUAAUAUUUUUGGCUAGAUUAAAUUUUUUGCAUUGAUGUAGCGAAAUUAAUAUUUUGCUUUGGAACAACAAAAAUAAUUGCGAAAUCGUUUUUUUACACUAGUAAUAAUUAGAUUUUUGAUUAUUGAAAUUUGAAAACAUUGGUUGAUACGAAUCCACUUUUCAGUUCUCUCAAAUCCUAUCUCACGCAAGUGUUUCUGGCGAAUAACCAGAGAAACAAUUGUUUGUUAGUGCUUCGUUUUUAUUCAGGUAUAUAGUGAUUGAUUGAUGUCAUAGAAAGUGCUAUUGGAUAUAGUUCUUGUGAUUACAUACUAAAAGAUUCGUCUUUGACAUCAAAUGCAAAUUGCUACUAUUUAGUGAGUCACAAACUCAUUCAAGAAGAAGAUUGAACUAAGAGUGCUUGGUUAACACUGGUUAAAUCUUAGUUACUCGGUUUAACUAAACCGUUUACAAUCAAACACUCUAAUACCAAAGAUGAGGCUCACUCUCCGGUCUCCAUGGCUCUUUUGCUGUAUCUAAACGGCUAAACCUCAAUAACAACAAUUAGCAUGUGAUAAGGCUUUGUGUGUAUACUACAUAACAUCGGGUUGCAAUCUUAAAGCUAAGUUUCCUGUCUAAAUUGACCAAAUCAUAAACUUUUCAACAGUGUUCUAAAAUACGGUUUGUACGGCCGUAUAUACGCUGUACGGUGGAAAGCCGUACUGUAUUAUAGCUAUACAAUUGUUUAAUACGGUGAAAGCUAUACGGUCCGCAUAUACGGCGAUUAUACGGCGUAUAUACGAUGAAAUUCGUAUAUACGACGCUUUUUUUUAAAAUACUUAAAAACAAAAACUAUGUCAUUUUAUUAAUGUGGAGAAAAAUGAUUUUAACAAAAUUAUUAGUUUGGCUCUCAAAAAAUUAAUCAUAAUAAUUAAUUAUAAAAUAACUUAAUUAUCAUUCUUUUCUAUUAUUUUUAUGCUUAUUAGUUAUUUGAAAUUUUAAAAAUAUUUUGUAAAGUUGAAAAUUUGAAAUUUUUUUUAUUCAUGUAUAGUAUUCAUUUUGUUACUAUAUUUAUGUUUUAUUGUUAUUAUAUAUAUAUAUAUAUAUAUAUAUAUUUAAUUAAAAAUAUCCACCAUAUAGUCCGCAUAAACGGCCGUAUAUACAUCUAUACGCUAUAUGGUACUCCACCGUACGCCUAGCGUAUAGCGUAUUUUAGAACACUUCUUUUCAAUGACUCGGGUCUCCUUCGCAUUUAAUAGAUAGUUAAAUGUAGGCCUGGGCAUUCGGAUUUCAAAUCGGAUUCGGAUCGGAUAUAUUCGGAUUCGGAUAAUUCGGGUAUGAGAGUUUAUUAUCCGUUCGGAUUUUAUGAUUUUUCGGUUCGGUUUCGGUUCGGAUAUAUUCGGAUUCGGAUAAUUUGGGUAGGAGAAUUUAUUAUCCGUUCGGAUUUUAUGAGUCAUCGGUUCGGUUUCGGUUCGGAUAGGUGUCGGAUUCGGAUCGGUUUUUGGGAAAAAAAAAACUUAAAAAUAGUUCAAUGUUAAUAAAAAUUGGUUUAAUCUUACUAAAGUUUGGUUAAAUUUUGCAAAAAUAUGUAUAAUUUUAACAAAUAUAACUAAAAUUUUUCCGAAAUCUAGGAUAUUUAGGAUAUUUUUGUUAUUUGCUAUAAAAUUACAACUAAAUAUAACUAAUAUUUUUGGAUAUAUAAUUUUUAUUUCCGGUUUUCAGAUAUCCUUUCGGUUUUCGGUUCGGAUCGAGUUCGGUUCGGGUAAUUCGGAUAGGAAAAUUCAUUAUCCGUUCGGAUUUUGUGACUUUUCGGUUCGGAUUCGGUUCCGGAUUUUUCGGAUCGGUUUCGGAUUUCGGGUUUUAUGCCCAGGCCUAGUUAAAUGUACAAAACUAGCCACAAUGAUACUAUUAUGAGAUUUGACACAGAAUGAUUCUGAUCUCCAGACCUUUUCGAAUUUUCAGGUCUGUUUUCGAUCUAUGAUAAGUUGAGUAACUGCAAAGUUGGUUCAAUAUUCACAAAUUGUCUGCGUUUAUAAACGAGAAUCAAAGAACAAAUGUCGAAUUUGAAAUCAAUAUAAAAUACAACAUUGAUCAAACCCUAUUUACACUAUUUACACAAGCAAAGCUAGUAAUUUAGAAAAGAGUCUCGCACAGUAAAGACAAACCCAAAGAUAGUUGCAGAUCGUCUCCGCUUCCAUCACAUCAGAUAGACCUCUUAUACGUUUCAGAGAGCCCUAAGAACAACCUUGCUGGUCGCAUGAACACCCUUAGCAGCUAUCUUCAGCGCACCACGAGCUUGGUACAACCUGAAAGCAAACGCCAAAACACUACUUCACUCAAUCGAAAUAUUUGUUUUUCAACAUCUCGAGAUCAUUAGCAGAAAGCAGACAUACCCUCCAAAUGCAAGUCCCCAAGUGGACAGUGUGUAGAACAUUUUCCCAGCAUGCCAUAUAUCCACUACCUUCCCUACCUUGCUCAGAGCAGUAACUUCUUGGACCAAAACUGCAAAAUUAAGCCGGUCGAUAAGCCACGUAAACAAACUAGAAAUUACCGGUAAGAUUGGUGACACAAAGCUAAUAGUAACCCCGAGAAUACCGCUAAUUCUUCCCACUUUUGUGAUUAUUAACAACUAUAUAAAGCAGUAUACUCGGGGUUAUCAACCAAACUCUAUAUAAAAUACUCAAAGAUAUAUCAAGCUAAAUUCUAAACUUACGUUUCUGAAGCUCGUCAGGUUUGAGAUUCUGCAAUUGGAAAGUAAUAGCCAAGUGAAUAAGAGAUCUGAAGUAAGUGAAAAUCCGAAAUUGAAGCUAACGAUACGAAUACAAUACCUUAGCUUUGGGAUUUGACAUAAUACAUUUAGCCAAGAAGUGAGCAACAGCAUCAAUCACAUGUUCUUCAUUCACAACAAUGUAAUGAUCAUUAUCGAUCGCGCUUUGUUCCUCGACAUUACUAGGAACCAUAUCAUCAGUAACCAAAACCCACCAACUUGGCUCUUGAUGAUCCAUCUCUAUAAGAACUUCAACAGUUUUCACAUCAUCUUCUGAAACAAAUAAACCCAUCAACACAAUUUCUUCUAAACCUUCAAAAUCGAAUUUCAAAAUCAUCGUAAAAAUUCGAUAAACACACACCUGUUGGUUCCUUGAAUGGAAAUUGAUUUUGCGUUCCAUUAGAUAAAGCUUGUCUUAGUUUCUCUAAUCUAGCCAAGAAAUCUUUCGAAGUAACCAUUGAUACAAGCCGAGCAUAGAGCUGAUUUUGAAAUUUCAACAAAUUUGUUAACAAAUCCCAAAAAAAUUCGAUUGAAAUUGAAUUUGGUUUCAUGCUUACGUCGCUAGGGCAAUCAUGAGAUAACGCAGCAGAUUCAGCGAGAGUCUCAAAUAGCUUAAGAUUCGCUUCAAGCAAAGUCCUAAGACGACGAUUCUCUUGUCGAAGAGCUUCUAAUUCACGAUCUCGUGGAUCGGUAAUCGGAUUCGUUGACUCGUGAUUCUCGUCAUGGUGGUGGUGGUGAUGAUGGUAGGUUUCCACGGCGGUCCAAGCCACGUCGGCUACUUCUAGCACCGUCUUCGUCACUUCGAUCGCGUGGUGGCUCGUCAUGGUUUUUGAUCUUCUUCUUCUUCUUCGCCGUAUCUGGAUAUGAUAAAUUCUGAUUUACGGAUUUUUCCAAGGAAACUACUUGUCGUUUGCGUGUUUGGAAACGACAAGCAAGCUUUAUAUAUUAAUUACAUUAAUACUUUUUUAGUUUCUUAUUGCCAAAUACGCCCUUCUAUACUAAGGUAUUUCAGAUUUCUACCAUACUAUUAGACUUCUUGACGUUUUUGUUUUUCUUUGGUAACGUCUUGCCGUUUUAAGUUUUGUUUUGGAUAAAGCUUGCCGUUUUCUUUUCUCGCUGAGGUUUUACAUUAUCGAGGACAUUUCUAAUUCUAAGAGCAUGCACAUAGUUGAGUAUCAAUAACAAUUUUUUAGUAUUAAUUAUAAUAUUUAUUUAUUGUUUGAGAUUUUUUAUGAUACUGGUACUAAAUAUGUUUCUAUUGGUGAGACUGGUUUAAGUAUCAUAAAAAAAAAAAUUAUUUGCAAAAUCGAAAAUAAAUAUAUAAAAACAUAAGAUUACAAAAGGUAAUAUUACAAUAAAUAAAAAUGUAGAAUAUACUUAAGCAAAAAAAAAAACUCUGAAAGAAGCCUAAUAUAACAAUUAAAUAAUAAAUUCUUUAAAAUCACUCAAAUUUUCUUUUUAGAAUGACAAUCAUGCAUGUAUUGUAGAUUUGAACAUCAAGUAAAACAUAUAUAUUAAGUUAAGAAACUUGCUGGUACUAAGAUAGUCUUGUCUCUAAUCUUGUGUUUAUGAAGAUGACAUGAUCUACUCUGUUUAUUUUUGCUUGCUUUCAUUAAACAGUUUUGUUUAUGUAUCGAAUGCUCUGCUUUUGGAUUUUGGUGCAUCUCCGAUGUCCAUAAACACAUUAAGGAUGCUAUAGAACAUUUAUUUCUUAUUGGAAAUAUUAUAACAAGUUUUGCAUAUUACAUUAUACCAACAUAUAUAAAGAACAAAAUAUUUGAAAAACAGACACAAAGAAACAAAAGCACAAACUCAUAUCUCAAACUCUCUCCCCUUUCCAUCUUCAUCUUUCUUCUUUCAGAGUCUUGAGACAUUGAUAGGGUAGAAAAGGGCAGCAACAAGCCCCUUAUUUUGUUUAUUCAUAAUCAUAUUGACAAGAGUUUAACAUAAAAAAGGAGACAAAGCCACCAGGAAGAUGUAGAGAUAUUAGGAUAUUACUGACUCAAGAAAGUAGGCAGAGAGAUACCUGCAAACACCGAACAUAUCGUUUGGAGAAGCCUAAGUCACUGAGUGAAUGUGACUCCAAGCUUUUUGCUAGUUGACGUCCAGCAGUCAUGACCUUGGAGCAAAAGACUUGGCAUCAGCACAUCAAGAUUUAAGCUAAAAUCGCUUUGAUCUUCUUUGCAUCAAUGAAAAAAUCUUACCUAAUUACCGUAGAAGAUACAAGACGGCUCAUACACUAUCCCAUAAAUUUUGUCAACCAUCUCUACACAAACCAAAUGAACUCUCUACACAUCAGUUACAAUAAACAAUAAAGUAAACACACACAUAGUAAAAGGAUCCGUUCCGGCAGAUAAAUCGAAAUUUCAUUCAAUCAAUCAUACAAUGUAGCAUAAAUAUGUCACAAAAUCUAACUGCAAUGACAUUAUAAACUAAGAAAUGAAUCAAAUUUACCUCAAUUUCCUAUCAUCAACCAAGAGAAUCAAUCUAAUGUAUCAAUGUUCCAAUCAAUCUUAGAGAAAUAAUGAACUCACAGUUGCGACGACAUUGAUCUGAUGAGAUGAUUGCAACUCAUCGACAUCUAGACCUCCGCUAUUUUGAGGAACGUCACCAUCUCCGAUAUAAUUUUCAUCAGGCGACUGCUAGGAUCGAAGAGAUGAAGCCGGAGGAGAAACGGAGGGAGCGAAGGCAGGAUCGGGAAGGAAGAAUCGGCGGAGGAUAGGAGAAAUCGAAAAUCGCCGGAGGGUUUCUAGGUUUUCUCGCAGUGAGAGAAGAGAGGAGAAGAAUCGAGAAGGAAGUGAUUUUUUUUUUCUCGGCUUCAGCCAAAAACGCGUUUUUGCUCACCAAUAGAAUGCUGCCACGUCACCUGAUACUCAGUAUCAGAAGUAUCACUGUACUGAUACGUAUCAGGCCCAAAUUCAUGUUUUGAUCCAUUAAAUAAUAAUUAUUGGGCUCCUGAUACUCAAAUUAAUUCACCUAUGUGGAUGGUCUAACUGCUCUUUAGGAUUUUAAUCUCUUCAUCUUUUUUUCCUCCAAACAUAAUUCUAAAAACUCUUCACUAAUUGUUAUUAUUCUCUUUUCUGCUCAAUAUUUUUAAAAACUAAUUUUACCUUUCCUUUACUCUUAUGUAAAUUUUAUCACCAACAAACUAUUAGAAGCAACUAAGGUUGAACAAAAAAACUGGACCCGAUAUCUGAACCGUACUUAGACCGAAAAAAUCGGUUUGGAGCGGGUUAGGAUAUGAGAAAAUUAUUUCAUUGGAUAAAGUGUUGGUAUACCCGUCGGCAUCGGUCCAGGUUGAGAUUACCCAUUACCCAUACCGGAUACCCAUAAAUCCGAACAUAUAAUUAAAUACAAAAAUAUUAAUUAUAUUUAAUCUUAAUAUAAUCUAAUUAUCCAAAAUUUCAAUACUAAAUCUAAAUAUGUCAAUUAACUUUAUACCUAAAUACCCAAAACAACCAAACUAUCCAAAAAUUAUAUGUUAUGUUUGUCAAAAUUUAGCAAAAUGUAUACAAAUAUAACUAUAUUUAUUAAAAUUUAACAAAUUAAGGUUUUUUUUCGGGUACGCGAUAUUUUACGUACAAAAUACCCGAAUCGAAAGGAUACCAAUUUUUUUUGGGUAUUUAAUUAUAGGGUCUAAAUUUUUUUACCCAAACCGAUUGGUCCCGACCUGGACUGGAAUCGAAUGUUUAGAAUUACCAUAUUGGAUAGUAAACUCAAUACCCAUUAAAUCUGAAACCCGAACGGGUUACCCAUAGUCCCAUAUGCCCAGGCCUAGAAGCAACCAAUGACUUUGUCUCCCCCAUUCCACAAAAAAAAGCAACCAAUGAUAAUCAUUCUCUCUCUCUUCUCUCAUUAACAACAAUUUUUUUUUUCUUUUUGAGAUUUUGCAACCUCCAAACCCAUAUCUCCUCUUUUCUUCUUCUUCAUCCACCACUAAUUAAGGUAGUUUUAGUUUGUUUUUUUUCUUUCAUAUUCCCUAGAUUAGCAAUUUGACAAAAACUUCAUUAGAUAUAUCAUUAGUGUUGGUGUCAGAUCCCGCACCAGAAGUCCGGGACCAACCAAAGAUUGCCACGUAGACAGGAUAACGACCCAUAAAGGAUAAAGCCCAUUAGACCCACAAGUCAAAAGAACAGUCGGAGUGGUUGUCAACGUGAAGAGAGUCCGAAGUGACUGCACCUCGACACGAGUCCGGAGACGAAGUCAUGGUUAAGUCGGUCUUAAGGACAUUUGGGCCAAAAGGCGAGGCCCAUAAAAAUCAGAGUCAACUCAAAUUCAUACGUUGAGCAUUAAAGUCAAAGAUCAAAACGGACACAUUUAAGAGGGAAUAAUUGUACUUAAUUAUUCAUUUUAAUGUCGUUUCUCUAUGUAUAAAUAUAAAGGCCAAUGGCCAUGUAAAGGGGAUCUUCCUCUAGAGAAAGAGAUACUAUAGCAAUUUUCGUAGCAAUUCAUAAGUUUUUACAUAUUCAUUUUUGUCCCUCAAGAGUAAUCUUUCCUACUUAAUAAAAAUACUUGAGUGUGUGAAUCCGACAUCCACAUUUUGGCGCCGUCUGUGGGUACAGAGGAUUCUUGAGUGGUCAGAUUUUUUCUUUACUACAUUUCCGAGAUAAGCAACAAUGUCCGGAGGAGACGCCGUUGAGACAUCAUUGGCCGAAACCCUCAAAGCUAUGCAGCAAACCAUGUCGGACAUAUCACAAAAGUUCUCGGAUGUGGAAAAGGCCGUCGAUACGUUGCAAACGUCCCAGGUAUCUCUUAGUCAAAACGUCAAUACUAUACAAACUCGUGUUCGCUCUUUAAGUGCAGGAAAUCCUGUGGGAAUCCGAAGGAGGAUACUCAACUCGCCAAGCUCCGUUGCGCGAAAUGAAACCAGCGGAAAAACAACUCCUGGUGCUACUAAUAAUGUAGUUCAACCAUCGGAUGGAGAGGCACAGCUCGAAGAUGAAGUUCAACUUGCAGAUCAAUACGAGCAGGAAAACCUCGACCAGUUCGAGACCAUGAGGAAGGUUAGCCAAGAACUAAAAGAAAUGAAGUCAAAGUUCCAUCAAGCUACGAGUUCGGAGCCAGACAUCAAUCGAGUCAUUGAAGAAGCUAGGCGAACACCUUUCAUCUCGCGAAUUGCGAGUUUGAGAAUCAAAGAUUCUCGAAAACUCAAGUUGGACCCUUACAGCGGGUUGGAGGAUCCAAAGAGCUAUCUCGCAGCUUUUCUGAUCGCUGCUGGAAGAGUCGAAUUGGAUGAAGCUGAUGAGGAUGCAGGUUACUGCAAGCUUUUUUCGGAAAAUCUAUGCGGUCAAGCUUUAAUGUGGUUCACCCAAUUAGAGCCGGGUUUGAUCAGCAAUUUCGACGAGCUAUCUGCUGUAUUCUUAAAGCAAUAUUCCAUCCUUAUGGAUAAAAGCGUUUCGGAUGCCGAUCUUUGGAACUUAUCACAAGGAUCAAAUGAAUCACUUCGAGUUUUCAUCACCAAGUUCAAAGGAGUGCUGUCAAAGCUCCCAAGAAUCUCGCAACAAUCAGCUUUAUCUGCCUUACGAAAAGGAUUGCGACAUGAUUUGAGAUUUAAAGAAGAUUUAAUACUUCAUAAACCAGACAAAAUUCAGGAUGCACUCUUCCGCGCAAACAACUGGAUGGAGGUAGAGGACGAAAAAGAAAGUUUUGCCAAAAGAAAUAAGCAAGAGAAGCCGGCAAUCACCGUCCCUACCAAAAAGUUCGAACCCAGGGAGAACAAAGGACCAAAGAAAUUUGGGUCGCAACCCUUCAACAGUACCGUCGGAAAGCAAUUCCAAGGGAAAGGAAGAUCAAACACUUGGGUCCGUGAUGAAAGUCUAUAUUGUGACAUUCAUAAAGUAACCGGACAUUUAACCAAGGAUUGUAGCGUUCUUAAAAGACACCUCGCAGAGCUUUGGGCCAGUGGAGAUCUUUCCAAAUUCGAUAUAAAAGAUUUUGUGAAGGAAUACCACGAAGCAAAGGAAAGUUCCAAAGAUCAAAAUUCCAAAAGACCAAGGUUAACCAACGAGGAAGAACCAAGGAAUUGUAAGGGUAAGAUCAAUGUUAUUCUAGGAGGUUCCAAAUUUUGCGGAGAUUCGAUAAGUUCCAUCAAGAAACAUAGACGAAAUGUCCUACUCAAAGCAAGCUUAAGCGAAGAAGUCGAUUUUCAAGGUGCAUCAAUAUCAUUUAAUGAAGAAGAAACGCGGUACCUCGAAAGACCUCAUGAUGAUGCUCUAGUCAUUACCCUUGAUGUUGCCAACUUCGAAGUAUCAAGGAUCCUUAUAGAUACAGGCAGUUCGGUCGAUUUGAUCUUUUUAAGUACUUUAGAAAGAAUGGGAAUUAGUCGGGCGGACAUAGUGGGGCCUCCGUCUCCAUUAGUUGCAUUCACAAGUGAGUCAGCCAUGUCUCUCGGGACAAUCAAGCUACCGGUCCUUGCCAAAAAGGUAUCGAAGAUCGUGGACUUCGUUGUCUUCGAUAAGCCCGCAGCUUACAACAUCAUCCUCGGGACUCCCUGGAUUUAUCAAAUGAAAGCAGUCCCCUCUACAUAUCAUCAAUGUAUCAAAUUUCCAACAUCAAGAGGAGUGGAAACAAUUCGGGGAGAUCAAGAAGCUUCACGGACGUGUUAUCUAGCUAGCCACCGUAUGAAGAUUUAAUAGCAAUCAAUGAAGCCCGCAAAAGAGGGACUAAGAACAAAAUUUCCUAGCGGGCAGAAGAAAGACGAUGUAGUAAUCGAAGUGGUGUUGGAAGAAGACAAGCCGGACCGGAAAAUUCGAAUUGGGGCAACUUUGACUGGCCAAAUAAAAGAAGCUUUGAUUGAACUCUUAAGGAAAAAAAAAACAUCGUUUGCAUGGUCAGCAGCGGACAUGCCUGGCAUAAAUCCAAGUAUAAUUUGUCAUGAACUAAAUGUGGAUCCAAGCUUCAAACCGGUGAAACAAAAAAGAAGAAAGCUUGGAGUGGAGCGAGCAAAAAUAGUAAAUGACGAAGUGGAUAAACUUUUGAACAUAGGGUCCAUAAGAGAAGUGCAAUAUCCGGAAUGGGUAGCAAACACUGUCGUUGUCAAGAAGAAAAAUGGGAAAGAUAGGGUUUGCAUCGACUUCACAGACCUCAAUAAAGCAUGUCCCAAAGACAGUUUCCCGCUCCCACAUAUAGAUCGACUUGUAGAGUCCACCGCUGGGAACGAACUGUUAACAUUCAUGGACGCCUUCUCGGGUUAUAAUCAAAUAAUGAUGAACCCCGAAGACCAAGAAAAAACGUCAUUUAUCACUGAUAGGGGUAUCUAUUGUUACAAGGUAAUGCCUUUUGGUUUGAAAAAUGCAGGAGGAACUUAUCAACGGUUGGUUAACAAAAUGUUCCAUAAUCAUCUCGGGAAAACAAUGGAAGUCUACAUAGAUGAUAUGUUGGUUAAAUCGUUAAAGAAAGAGGAUCACGUUAAGCAUUUAGAGGAAUGUUUUGAUAUUCUCAAUAAAUAUCAAAUGAAGCUGAACCCGGCGAAGUGCACAUUUGGAGUCC
RNAcentral lists this long non-coding RNA (26081 nucleotides) under Arabidopsis lyrata. Its description in RNAcentral is "long non-coding RNA (ALYR_LNC003238)". Lineage: Eukaryota; Viridiplantae; Streptophyta; Magnoliopsida; Brassicales; Brassicaceae. The record is from RNAcentral.